GGCUAGGUGGCAGAGUGGUUAUGCAGCGGCCUGCAAAGCCGUGUAUCCCGGUUCGAUUCCGGGCCUAGCCUCCA
RNAcentral lists this transfer RNA (74 nucleotides) under Gammaproteobacteria bacterium. RNAcentral describes it as "tRNA-Cys". It matches the Rfam family "tRNA". Rfam says of the family: Transfer RNA (tRNA) molecules are approximately 80 nucleotides in length. Their secondary structure includes four short double-helical elements and three loops (D, anti-codon, and T loops). Further hydrogen bonds mediate the characteristic L-shaped molecular structure. tRNAs have two regions of fundamental functional importance: the anti-codon, which is responsible for specific mRNA codon recognition, and the 3' end, to which the tRNAs corresponding amino acid is attached (by aminoacyl-tRNA synthetases). tRNAs cope with the degeneracy of the genetic code in two manners: having more than one tRNA (with a specific anti-codon) for a particular amino acid; and 'wobble' base-pairing, i.e. permitting non-standard base-pairing at the 3rd anti-codon position. RNAcentral also lists the same sequence under 4 other names. Lineage: Bacteria; Pseudomonadati; Pseudomonadota; Gammaproteobacteria. The record is from RNAcentral.